Molecule: long non-coding RNA, 721 nt
Organism: Oryza sativa Japonica Group (Japanese rice)
Lineage: Eukaryota; Viridiplantae; Streptophyta; Magnoliopsida; Poales; Poaceae
Source: RefSeq, a predicted model, not a curated record
UAGUUUGUGAAUGACCAUCCCUUGGUUCACUAAAAGGGCUAGCCAGUAACCACUUCUCUUGCUGGAACGAUUUCCCCAAAUCGAAAACCUAGCGACAAGCGGCGGCGGCGGCGACGCGCGCGGCAGGGAGGCGCGGCGGAGAAGGGCGGCGGUGUUGCGCGCGGGCAGGGAGGCGCUGGGGAGAGGAGCGGCAUCGUCGCGCGCUAGGCGGACAGGCAGGAGGGCGCGGCGCGGCGUGCGCACGCGCAGGGAGGCGCGGCAGCCCCGCGGCCAGUGCGCAGGAGGGCGCGGAGCAGCGGGCGCACGCGCAGGGAUCAAAACUUUUGUAAUUCAGGGGGAGGAGGACACCUGCAGCUUCGUCUUCCUCCGUCAGUGCCUUCGCUACCGCCUCCUAUUCGCAGAGGCUGACUGGGAAGGUCGCCGUCAUCACCGGCGGCGCCAGCGGCAUCGGCAGGGCGACGGCGGAGGAGUUUAUUGUCCCAAAUAAUGUGUUCUAAUCAUAUGACGGAGAUGCUGUACAUAUUGUCCCAAAUAAUGUGUUCUGUCAUCUUUUUUAAAUUGUGUCAAAAUUAUUGCUAAAAUUCUGUCAAAACUAUCCUAAAUAUAGUGUUCUGUCAACUUGUACAAAAUUUGUCUAACAUUUAGGUCCCAUAUUAAAUACGCACAAAUUUAACUUGAAACAUGUCCGGUGUUCAUGCCAAAAUUAUAGUAGAGGUAUAUU